Molecule: long non-coding RNA, 580 nt
Filed under: Homo sapiens (human)
Lineage: Eukaryota; Metazoa; Chordata; Mammalia; Primates; Hominidae
Description: lncAB192.1
Source: RNAcentral
UAUAAGGCAGCUUUCAGUUUGCUUAGAAGGCAACAUUGGAAUGUUAGAGUUCAUCAGAAACAUAGAAUUUUAAACUGUGAGUUCCACUGAAUACAUUUUAAUGUCUGUAGGAAGAAUCAAAACACCUAUUUAAAGAUGGCAAUGUAUAAUAAUCAUUUUAAAAGUAUUUGAUUAAACCUGAUAAUUUUCCAGAAAUGAAAAAAAAAAUCAGCUCUAAAACCAAAGCUGAUUUUAGAAAAUUUGAAAAUGUAAAUCAGCCCUAUCCAUAAUAUAGUUUCUCUAAAACUUUAUUUUAAAGAGUCAUUUUAAAAUAAUAUAACUAUUAAAAAAUGUAACUGCUAUCUUAAUGUUCUGAAAUAAUUUAAAACAUUUUAAAAUAUGAAUACUGUAGUAUAAAAGAAAGAAAUGGUGGGAACGAAAAGCAGAGAAAGAAAUGCCAAUUCCAGUCCAAAGUUUUAUUUGCCAAGUUUUCUUAGAAUGAAUUUUACCAGUUUAUGAAUUAUUGUAAAGAGAAUGUGUCGUGGAAAUACUGAAAGAUUUUUCCCUAGAGUGGCCUUAUUGACUGCUGGUGUGAUGCCAC